RNAcentral lists this ribosomal RNA (258 nucleotides) under uncultured bacterium. RNAcentral's name for it is "partial 16S ribosomal RNA". It matches the Rfam family "Bacterial small subunit ribosomal RNA", at positions 524 to 777 of the family's 1533-position model. The record is from RNAcentral.
UACAGAGGUCCCGAGCGUUUGUUCGGAUUCAUUGGGCGUAAAGGGUGCGUAGGCGGCGGGGCAAGUCUGAUGUGAAAUCCUGGGGCUCAACCCUGGAACUGCAUUGGAUACUGCCUUGCUAGAGUACUGGAGAGGAAACUGGAAUUUACGGUGUAGCAGUGAAAUGCGUAGAUAUCGUAAGGAAGACCAGUGGCGAAGGCGAGUCUCUGGACAGCAACGUGACGCUGAGGCACGGAAGGCCCAGGGGAGCAAAACGGG